Molecule: long non-coding RNA, 2439 nt
Organism: Monopterus albus (swamp eel)
Lineage: Eukaryota; Metazoa; Chordata; Actinopteri; Synbranchiformes; Synbranchidae
Exons: 2
Source: RefSeq, a predicted model, not a curated record
ACAAUUUUCUGGGAGAAGUGCUGAGUUAUCUGACAGAAAUGGAGGGGUGGCAAUAUUUUUGGCCAUGUAGACCAACACAGAAGUUAGUGUCACCCUGGCUACAAAAGCUAAAGGGAUUUUUCCAUAGGCUUUUGGAUUAUUGCAGAAAAUAAGCCCUGUGACAAACUGUGGUUUAUGACAGGUAAUGUUUUGUUCAGCGAGAAAACACCUCUUUUAUUAUUUUUGAAGCCCAAAUACAAUUGGCAGAAGUAAAAAGCUUGUAGCUUGAUUUAGCGCGCUAACCUCUUCUACAAAGUCCUUUCCUUUUAGUGUGACCUGAUCUAGCUGCUGAUCAUGGCUGUGUCAGUUAGAAUAGUUUGAAGUGUGUGAAUCUAAAAACAAUGAGGCUGUAAAGGUGGACUAGUGAUUAGAUUAGUCUCUGUGUUCGGCGCAAUGACAUUUAAUGUCCCAGACAGCGUCUCUAGUCUCAUUUAGCCACUUGUUAGCAACAGCCUUUUUAAAGACACAUAAAAGCCUUAAAAAUCACAAGUGGAAUUUUUACUUAUGUAUUUUAUUUUAUUUUAUAGAACAAAACAUCAAAAUGUAUUGGCCUUGUGUGAAUCACAGACCUUAUUUCAGGUGUCCAACAAAAAACCCACUGACUUCAGGGCAAGGAAACUGGAAGUACAAAAAUGUUAAUUCAGUUCUGGGUUUUAGGACUCACUACUACAGCACUCUUUUUGAAUCUAUAUAAUCUAGCAUUGAGCCAGGUUUUAACAGAUCAAGUGGUCUGUUUAGACAAGCUGACGAGAGCCUCUUGUACUUCAGAACAGCUCCUUAUAGUCUGAGCAGCGCUUGUUUUGUUUCUUGCCUCGUGCGUAACACUGAGGCUACAGGUUGUUGUUUGUCCUCCUGACAUUCUCAGAACUGAUCACGAUGAUGGCCAACGCUAUGAGAAUGAGAGCCGGAUUGUAAAGGAGUCCUUCUAGGAGCAGAGAAGAAAGCGUGGCUGUGGUAGCUCACUGCAGGCUGCACCCAGUCUUCCCUUGCAGCCUGCUUGUGGAAGAACAGGAACUCUGUUCUGCUUGUCAUUGUCUUAUUAGAAGACAAUGUACCAAGGGGAAGAUCCAAUUAAACCAGCAAUAUCAUUCUUGAAGGGUGUUAAUUCUUUGUUCUGUCUACUUGAAUAUAUUACCACUUACUAUAGACCAACUCUUCUUCAUGGAUCGCUUUCAAGCAGCUCACCACAGAACAGAUGAUGUAUAAAUAAUGGCAUGGUCUCUUCUCUGUAGGUUUUUCUAAAUGGUAAUCCAGUGCUAAAGUGUCCCCCCACUCCUCCUCAUACAUACUCCAUACUGUCUCUGGAAAAAAGAGCUUUGAAGUAAAUUAUUUAAUAUAUUUUUAGAAUUGUUUUCUAUUCCUGUUCUCGUGUCCUAUGGCAUGCAUUCUUCUCACACCUCAAAGUAUGAUCAUGUAUAUAUGUGACAUAGAGAAGCAAAUCUACAUACCAACCUAAUAAACAAUACCACUGUAUAGAAAUUGUAUUAGCCUGCACAUUUCUAAGGCUGUGAAGUUAAUUUUAUUUUUAAAACUUGCAUAUAAAUGUAUAUAUUUUUUGAUUUUUACCCUGCAACUAGGAGGUGUAGAGGACAACUAAUCCUGUAAUGAGUCACAGAAUACAUAGUCAUGUUAACUGAAUCUUGUGUGUACAGCAGAGUUGUAGAUAUAUCUAAGGAGAAGCCUUUCUUUUGUUAUUGUUGUUAAUGAUUUCAUCACAGCAACACUGUGUGAAUAUGUACAUAAAGGAUUCACCGUGUUGGUCUCUACCUCUUGGGCUCAGUAACCUGGCUUUGUUUACCUCCACACCUUUCUGAUUUCAUGUGGGGGUGAAUUGAAAACACUUGAAUAUCCAUUCAAGAUUUUAUACUGAGAGAGUAAAGCGUACUCCCCCCCCCCUCCCCACAGACCUUUCCUGCACUAAGUGCAAAGCAUUCACCUGACACGUUGAAUCAUCUGUUUGUAUUACAAAACCCUACCAAUAGCCAAGGGUUUCCUGACUGUUAGUCGAUUUUCACUCUUUGAUAGAAUAGGACCUGGUGAGGAGGGAGAGUUGCAGUUUCCACCACAGUGGCUGUGUUCAACACUCAGUGUCAACAACUUAUUUCAUAUACCAUUCACUUUUAACAUAUUCACAUUAACUGUCUUCCACUUUUAAGUUAUUUUUGGGCUACUGAGAGCUAGACUAGUGUUCUGUAGUUCUUUACAAGCUGUACUAUGUUUGUUUGGAGCCCAAUAGCUUUUGAAUCUCUUACUGAGUUGGGGUGUGGCUUUUCUAACAUUUCUAACUAAAAUUAUUAAUGACUAAAACAUAAACAUAAAUUCAUUCUGUGUAAUUUGGUUUAAAAUAUUUCUCGGAAAUAGUUUGCUUUUAUAAUAGAGCAAGGGACAAUACAAAUCCAA